UAUUUCCGGUAUUUUAGACAGUACUGCGCAUGUCAACAUGAUUUAUUCUGAUCAACCGUGUGGCGCAUGGAAACGUUUGUUACAAUCGGAGGAAGUUUUUCAGGGCCAUGUGCACAGUUCUAUUCUAAUCUGAUCUUUGAUCUGAUCCAGGACAUUUUGCACAUGGGAAUGCAGCAAUUUAUACUCGAUAAGAAACAAAUCAGAAUGAAGCUCCAUGUGUAGGCGUCAAAACUGUUAUUGUAGAAAUUGAAUGUUUCCACUGUGGUGGUGGGCGUGUCCCUUGAGGUGAGGCGGUGAUUGUGUGAAUGCGUUCACCUGUCAGAUACGGGGCAGGAACGCCAGUUGGAGCAGAGAUCACCGGUUCCACUGGAGACAUUGAAGUAACACCAAAACACAUCUUCAAUUGUUUGAAUCUGAGACUGAUGAAGGCUGACGAUGAAGGUGAUGCAGCAAAGAAGCCUGAAAGCGAAACAAAUGCCUGACGCUCUGGAAAGCGCCGCACCGAUGACAGCGUGGCACAAUAGGGGACAGCGAGGGGCCUUUUACUGAAUUGCUCCCAUCCACAGCAGCCACUAAAUGAUGCUGCAGCGCUCUGUCAUCACUGACCCGUUUUUCACACAAACUCAUUUAAGUAAAUUGCUUGGAGAUGGUAACUGGCCACCGUUUCAACCCAGCUUCCAAUUCUGAGGCGAACAGGCACCUAUAUGUCCGUCCCCAUGGAUAUCCCACUGAUAACAUGAAGUUCGAGGGGGAAAAAGUACAAGCUUCAGUAGUCCAAGGUUACCACAUGUUCAUGGUUUGAUUGACUCGACCAUAAACCGUAUAAAUCUACGAGUAAAAACUGUGAAUCCAC
Molecule: long non-coding RNA, 853 nt
Organism: Oryzias melastigma (Indian medaka)
Lineage: Eukaryota; Metazoa; Chordata; Actinopteri; Beloniformes; Adrianichthyidae
Exons: 3
Source: RefSeq, a predicted model, not a curated record